Molecule: ribosomal RNA, 334 nt
Filed under: Orthetrum testaceum
Lineage: Eukaryota; Metazoa; Arthropoda; Insecta; Odonata; Libellulidae
Description: partial 16S ribosomal RNA
Source: RNAcentral
UUGACUGUACAAAGGUAGCAUAAUCAUUAGUCUUUUAAUAGAGGGCUGGAAUGAAAGGUUUCACGAGGAACUGACUGUCUCAUUUUAUUUGUUUUAAAAUUUAAUUUUUUAGUUAAAAAGCUAAAAUUUUAUUGGUAGACGAGAAGACCCUAUAGAGCUUUACAUGAACUUAAUUAAAUAUUUUUAUAUUAAUAUUUUUAUUUAUCUUUAUGUUUUGUUGGGGUGACAAAAAUAUAUAAUUAACUUUUUUAUUUACUUUACAUUGAUUUAUGAAUAUUAGAUCCAUUCUUAUUGAUUAUUAGACUAAGUUACCUUAGGGAUAACAGCGUAAUAU